UAUAGUGUGCACGAUUGGCAUAGUUAUAGAAUGACAGUUGCUCUCAAGGAUUUAGCUACAAAAUAAUUAUGCAGUGCAUGAGUGUGUAUAAUUAUAGAUUUUUAGCUUUCUAGUUUGUUAAGGUGCUGUCUUGCCUCUAUAAUGAUAUCCUCCUUGCUUUGCUCCAGCACAUGGACACUGCGGCAGUAUACUGUGGUGUGGUGUGAGUGCUAGUACUGCUAAUUACACUCUCACCAUUAAUGACAACACAGCCCAGCACAUGGACAUGCAGUCAGUCACACACCACCAACUCUUGCAACCAUUAUCUCACCCCUGUAAUUGGCUCUGGAAAUUUACAAAAAGCCAACUGAUUUCCAUCGCAAGAAGUUGUCGCUGCUCUCAGCUAAGCCUCUCUACCUUCAACUGACUCUGAACAUUCACAAAAGCUAGCUCACUUGUUGCUAAGUAAUUCACAGUCUACUCUUGUACUGAUCACUUGUUUUCAUCAUCCCCAAGUUUGUUGUUCUUGUAACACAAUAAUGUUUAUAUUCAGCAAUAAUGUAUGCAGGUAUAAUAAUACCCAUAAUUUUAUUUAA
This is a long non-coding RNA of Halichondria panicea, 575 nucleotides long. RefSeq lists it as uncharacterized. The transcript has 2 exons. The record is from RefSeq and is a predicted model, not a curated record. Lineage: Eukaryota; Metazoa; Porifera; Demospongiae; Suberitida; Halichondriidae.